CGGGUGAGUAACGCGUAUCCAACCUUCCGUACACUCAGGGAUAGCCUUUCGAAAGAAAGAUUAAUACCCGAUGGUAUGAUGAGAUUGCAUGAUAGCAUCAUUAAAGAUUUAUCGGUGUACGAUGGGGAUGCGUUCCAUUAGGUAGUAGGCGGGGUAACGGCCCACCUAGCCGACGAUGGAUAGGGGUUCUGAGAGGAAGGUCCCCCACAUUGGAACUGAGACACGGUCCAAACUCCUACGGGAGGCAGCAGUGAGGAAUAUUGGUCAAUGGACGAGAGUCUGAACCAGCCAAGUAGCGUGAAGGAUGAAGGUCCUACGGAUUGUAAACUUCUUUUAUAAGGGAAUAAAACCUCCCACGUGUGGGAGCUUGUAUGUACCUUAUGAAUAAGCAUCGGCUAACUCCGUGCCAGCAGCCGCGGUAAUACGGAGGAUGCGAGCGUUAUCCGGAUUUAUUGGGUUUAAAGGGAGCGCAGACGGGUCGUUAAGUCAGCUGUGAAAGUUUGGGGCUCAACCUUAAAAUUGCAGUUGAUACUGGCGUCCUUGAGUGCGGUUGA
RNAcentral lists this ribosomal RNA (554 nucleotides) under uncultured bacterium. RNAcentral describes it as "bacterial SSU rRNA". It matches the Rfam family "Bacterial small subunit ribosomal RNA", at positions 103 to 655 of the family's 1533-position model. The record is from RNAcentral.